CCAGCCCACACCAUAUCUCUCUCCCUCUCCCUCUCUCUCUCUAUCUCUACUUUCUCUCUCUAGGAUUUGUUCUUCGUGCUGAGCGAGAUUCUGCGGAGCUCCGCUGCGCUUCCGCUCGAGGGUUUCCCGAUCGCCGCCGCCGUCGCCGCCGUCGUCCGCCUGAGACCGGCCGUCCGCCGGAGCUGGCUGCGGAUCUCGUCUCCUUUCGACGAGGAAGGAAACUGUGUGACUGAGGAUUAAGAGGGGCCGUGUGGAAUCUUGGAGAUUGAAGAAGCCUUUCUCGCUGUUUAAUCUUGAGGUCAAGUAUCGUGGUUUUGAGUUGAAGAAGUAUUGCAAUUAUCUUAAUUGAGUUCUGGUCUCAACUCGGAAUUACUGUUUGAAAAUGGGUUAUAUAUGUGAGUUCUGUGGAGAGCAGAGGUCUAUGGUGUAUUGCCGAUCUGAUGCUGCAUGCUUGUGCUUAUCAUGUGAUCGGAAUGUUCAUUCUGCCAACGCUCUUUCGAGGCGCCAUUCAAGAACGCUGUUAUGUGAGAGGUGUAAUUCACAACCUGCUUGUGUUAGAUGUGCGGAAGAGAGGGUCUCGCUAUGUCAAAAUUGUGAUUGGAUCGGUCAUGGGGCCUCUACCUCGGCAUCAACACACAAGAGGCAAACAUUAAACUGUUAUUCUGGUUGUCCCUCGGCAGCAGAGCUUUCUUCAAUAUGGUCUUUUGUGCUAGACUUCCCCUCUGGAGGUGAAUCCGCAUGUGAGAAGGGAAUGGGGUUGAUGAGCAUAGCAGAGGGUAAUGAAAACGCAGCUUGCAUUCUGCCAAAAGACAGCAGUAGCCAAGAUGUAUCUGUUUGUGCUGAUGAUGAGGCUGGGAAUGCAAAUGCAUGGGUUGGGUCAUCUUCAUUGCCGGAACUUAAAUCAGCGUCUCUGAAUAUGGGUCAGCUGGCUGCAUCUGCAAGCACGGCGACUCCUAAGGCGUGCCUUCCUAUUACAAGAAGUCCUGGGCUUUUUGAAGAUGAUAGUUUCUACGAGGAUUUCAACAUGGAUGAAGUGGAUUUGGAUCUUGAAAAUUAUGAUGAGCUUUUUGGUGUUGCCCUAACUAACUCAGAAUUGCUGUUUGAGAAUGGUGGGAUUGACAGCUUAUUUGGAGCAAAGGAAAUGUCUGCUGCUGAUUCCAACUGUCAGGGUCCAGUAGUUGCUGAGGGAUCAUCUUCUGGACAUGCAAUACAGCCUGCAUGCAGUGUUGCCUCAGCUGAGUCUAUGAUGAGCUCUAAAACUGAGCCUAUUAUUUGUUUUUCAACAAGACAACCCCAUUCCAAUCUCUCAUUCUCCGGUCAUAUUGGAGAGAAUAACACUGGUGAUUAUCAAGAUUGUGGGGCUUCCUCAAUGCUUCUUAUGGGAGAGCCUCCAUGGUGUACCCCUGGCCCUGAGAAUUCAUUCACAUCAGCAAGCAGGAGCAAUGCUGUGAUGCGUUACAAGGAAAAGAAGAAGACACGCAAGUUUGACAAGAAGGUGAGAUAUGCCUCUCGUAAAGCAAGAGCUGAUGUGCGAAGGCGAGUGAAGGGCCGCUUUGUCAAGGCUGGUGAUGCUUAUGACUAUGACCCAUUGAGCCAAACCAGAAGCUACUGAGUUGACAUAUAUAUGCUUAGAGGGAAGGAACCCUCACCUUCUAUUUGCAAAUAGUUGGUUCAAUGGGAAGUGGAUGGUGCAGGUGCAAUCUUAUUGAGUGCAGAUGCAUGAUGGUGACACUGAAGCCACAGUUAUAGCCAAGACAGCCGAAGAUGAAAGGGAUGGUGGGAUGGCAAUACUGAAAUGUGGGAUCUGACCAUAGUCCUCGUCGCCAUAAAGAAUUAACUAAUCGCGAAAUUCUUCCCACCAAAUUGUACGAAUAUUAGUUGCUUGGCAGUUUCUGUUGCUUUGCCAUCCUCUGGGCUUCUUCACUGUGGUAUGAGGGGGAAAUCAUAAUUGAUGCCAGCUAGACAUAGUUAGGCACGUCAUAAAUGACAAUAUGGGGUAGGCUUUCGUCUACCUCUUUUUUUGAAGCUCUUCCUGCAUUUGGCUGCUCCUCUCUGUGAUUAGUCAAAUUUACAGUUUCAACUGAAGCUCAGAUCUGUUUUCCUCUCUCUGGUAGACCCCGGUGGUUAAGCUCGAGAGUGGUUAACGACUGCUUUUGUGCGCUCUGGGUUUCAAACCGAUGUGGAACUCAUAGCGCGGCAAGCUGUUGGUGGUAGGUGGGUGCAGUCUGAGAAUGUUCGAGGCGCAUGUUCUUUAAUGAAACUCGCUCGCCCACACGUUCAUUGUCGACUCAGGCCGUGGAUGCAAAAGUAGUUGAGUUCACGUGUCUGUUUCUGUUGCCAUCGGACAGCCCUUGUGUGCCCUGUGGAGACCUCGCAGGACGAACGGAAAGUGUUGUGAUUGUCUGUUCUUGAGUCGGAUUCUUGUAUCUGCUUUUUGUGUCUUAUAUGAUGGACAUCAUAGGACAUUUAUCCAUUGGAUUAUCGUUCUUGCAGCUGAUUCGCAGCAACUUUUUUCGAUAACGAAUUGUGUAUAGAAGACGCUUUUAGUCAGCUGAAUUUACUGUAUCUCUGUUGUGUUCGCAUACUAA
This is an RNA transcript of Eucalyptus grandis, 2588 nucleotides long. It is a transcript of the gene named zinc finger protein CONSTANS-LIKE 9, with no coding region annotated. NCBI's taxonomy places the organism in Eukaryota, Viridiplantae, Streptophyta, Magnoliopsida, Myrtales, Myrtaceae. The record is from RefSeq and is a predicted model, not a curated record. The transcript has 6 exons.